This 252-nucleotide long non-coding RNA is filed under the name Lathyrus oleraceus (garden pea). RNAcentral describes it as "Pisum sativum (pea) long non-coding RNA (PSAT_LNC006321)". Lineage: Eukaryota; Viridiplantae; Streptophyta; Magnoliopsida; Fabales; Fabaceae. The record is from RNAcentral.
UUUAAAUAAGAAAAAGAAAUAUGAAAAUGGAAGGAUUAAUGGUGAUGAACAUGGUAAGCAAGCGUAGAUAUAUCAAAACAUGGCCAUGGAAGAGAUGAUUAUCUAAUGGAAAAUAGAAGUGGAAUGAAAUCUGAUAUGUGAUGAAGAUUUGCCUCCUUGCCACGAAAUUCCAAUGCUCCUUUAGGGUUAGGGUUUCAGCUUCUUAAAUAGGGUGGAUUAGGUGUUCUCAUGGGCUUUUUAAUAAGUGAUUUA